UUCAUUUUUCUGUGGGUCACCACAGGAUAUUUGGGAUCCACAUAUUGAUUUGGCUUUUCUAACACAUCUCCAGCUGUAUAAGGAGAAUGA
This is a long non-coding RNA of Thalassophryne amazonica, 90 nucleotides long. RefSeq lists it as uncharacterized. The record is from RefSeq and is a predicted model, not a curated record. The transcript is spliced from 3 exons. Lineage: Eukaryota; Metazoa; Chordata; Actinopteri; Batrachoidiformes; Batrachoididae.